AUUGAACGCUGGCGGCAUGGCUAAAACAUACAAGUCGAACGAGAAGCAGGCUUCGGCCUGUGGACAGUGGCGAAAGGGCGAGUAAUGCGUUUCUAACGUGCCCGGGGUCAGGGAUAGCCCAGGGAAACCUGGAAUAAUACCUGAUGACCCUGCGACGUCGUAUGUCGUUGCAGGCAAAGAUUUAUUGCCUCGGGAUCGGGAAACGUCCUAUCAGCUUGUUGGUGAGGUAAAGGCUCACCAAGGCUAAGACGGGUAGCGGGUGUGAGAGCACGGCCCGCCGCAUCGGGACUGAGACACUGCCCGG
RNAcentral lists this ribosomal RNA (304 nucleotides) under uncultured bacterium. RNAcentral's name for it is "bacterial SSU rRNA". It matches the Rfam family "Bacterial small subunit ribosomal RNA", at positions 30 to 334 of the family's 1533-position model. The record is from RNAcentral.